GCAUUGGUGGUUCAGUGGUAAAAUUCUCCCCUGCCAUGCGGGAGACCCGGGUCCGAUUCCCGGCCAAUGCA
This 71-nucleotide transfer RNA is filed under the name Danio rerio (zebrafish). RNAcentral describes it as "tRNA-Gly (GCC) (tRNA-Gly-GCC-133-1)". It matches the Rfam family "tRNA". From Rfam's summary of the family: Transfer RNA (tRNA) molecules are approximately 80 nucleotides in length. The record is from Rfam by way of RNAcentral. Lineage: Eukaryota; Metazoa; Chordata; Actinopteri; Cypriniformes; Danionidae.